This 1307-nucleotide long non-coding RNA is filed under the name Zonotrichia albicollis (white-throated sparrow). Its description in RNAcentral is "lncRNA (ENSZALG00000003935.1)". Lineage: Eukaryota; Metazoa; Chordata; Aves; Passeriformes; Passerellidae. The record is from RNAcentral.
CCAAAACCCACCACAACUCUGGCCAGGCCAACACCCACCACACCAAAACCCAGCCUGACAACCACUGCCACCAAGCCAACAACCACCACGGCCACCACCAAACCAACACCCACCACAACAAACCCCACCACAACCACCAAACAAACACCCACCACCACCACAACCACCACCACCACCAAACCAACACCCACCACAACAAACCCCACCACAACCACCCCUACAUCCAGGCCAAAGCCCACCACAACUAUGGCCAAGCCAACACCCACCACACCAAAAUACACCCCAACUGCAGCUAAGCCAAAACUUGCUGCAGCCACAGCCAAGCCAACACCCACCACCCCAACAUCCACCACCACUACAGCCAAGCCAGCACCUGCUGCUACAACACCAGCACCCGCCACAACAGCAAAGACACAACUGAAAACUGCCACAACCACAAAGCCAGAACCAGAAAGGCCUGAUCCCACUGAGAGAGCCAAGAUCACUCUUUCCUUUGAGCCCACCUUAGACCCAGAUUAUAAAGUAUCUCCAGAGGCAGACACUGGAGAGCCUCUUAGCUCCUUCACUACAGAGGAUCCAGCUUCAUUAGAAAGCAUGGGCACGGCCUUCAGCCCCAGAUCAGUCCCAGAAAUAAAGAAAGGUGUCAAAGAGCAUGGGGAGGAGAAAUCAGCCUUUCCCAGCCCAUCUCCAUCCCUCAGCCAAGCUGUUCCAGAGAUGAAGCUAGGUUCCAAUAGAGCUGAGCUCAUAACCCCCUCCAAGUCAGUGGUCCUCAGCCCUGAAGAGCCCACGUUCUUGCGCUUAACAUCAUCCUCCAAAGACAAAAAAGGGCCAAGCCCCCAUUUCCAGACCUCCCUCUCAGCAGGUGCCCUGGACACAGAACUGGAGACAAACUCAGACCAGACAAGUGUGGAUCAGCCCAAAGGAGGAGCCCCCAGUACCUGCCUGGGCCUUUCGCUCUUCCUCCUCCUCCCCAGUGCCAUCCUGGUGGGCCUUCUGCUCUGAAGGGUCUUCCUCAGCUCUCCCUGCACCCUCCCCAAGGCUUUUGUCAGCGCUGGUUGUUCCACAGCCCUGGCAGGCUCAGGAGCUCCUUGGACAAUUCCCGUGCUCCCUCCUUGNGUGUUCACAGGGGCUUUCAGGUGAGGGAAGAGAUGAGGAUCUGACUCCAUGUUUCAGAAGGCUUGAUUUAUUAUUUUAUGAUAUAUAGUACAUUAAAACUAUACUAAAAAGAAAAGAAGGAAAAGUUUCAUCUCAGAAGGCUAGCUAAGCUAAGAAUAGAAAGGAAUGAAUAAAGGUUUGUGUCUUGGACA